UACGUAGGGGGCUAGCGUUGUCCGGAAUCAUUGGGCGUAAAGCGCGUGUAGGCGGCCCGAUAAGUCCGCUGUGAAAGUCCAGGGCUCAACCCUGGGAUGCCGGUGGAUACUGUCGGGCUCGAGUCCGGAAGAGGAGAGUGGAAUUCCUGGUGUAGCGGUGAAAUGCGCAGAUAUCAGGAAGAACACCUAUGGCGAAGGCAGCUCUCUGGGACGGUACUGACGCUGAGACGCGAAAGCGUGGGGAGCGAACAGG
Molecule: ribosomal RNA, 253 nt
Filed under: uncultured bacterium
Lineage: Bacteria
Description: partial 16S ribosomal RNA
Rfam family: Bacterial small subunit ribosomal RNA
Source: RNAcentral